Molecule: ribosomal RNA, 533 nt
Filed under: Trichoderma cf. aureoviride DAOM 175924
Lineage: Eukaryota; Fungi; Ascomycota; Sordariomycetes; Hypocreales; Hypocreaceae
Description: partial small subunit ribosomal RNA
Source: RNAcentral
CCACAUUACUCUUGAGGUGAAAUGCUUACACUUUCAUUUAUAGACCAAAUAAUGUUUAAUUUAUAAUUUGUAAUUAUAAUAUUAAAUCUUAAUCUAACCUAUGGCAUUCAUCAUUUACUGCAAAGACUACUUGGGUAUCUAAUCCUGUUUGUGCUCUGUGCCUUCGUCCUUUAACGUCAGUUUCUACAUAGAGGGCUGCCUUCGCCUUUACCGAGUCCCUUUGGUAUCAUAGAAUUUCAUCUCUCCUCCUCAAGUACUGCCCUCUUAUAUAAAACUCUAGUCAAGUACUAACAUUAUAGAAGAUAUAUUGACCGUCUAGGUACCCUUUAAACCUAAUUAAGAUGAAUAACACUAGUCUCUUACGUAUUACCGCGACUGCUGGCACGCAAUUAGUCAAGACACGAUAUAUAUACUGUCAUUAUCAAUAUAUAAACAAAGCUUUAUUCAAUUUUAAUACAAUCCUAUAGAUCAUAUUCAAAGAUAUGAUCAAAAUAGGACUUGCCACUUCUCCAAGUUGCCAGUUCAGCCGUUAG